Molecule: non-coding RNA, 158 nt
Filed under: unclassified sequences
Also listed under: 1 other name
Description: Clostridiales-1 RNA
Rfam family: Clostridiales-1 RNA
Source: RNAcentral
AACAUAGCUCAUCCAUAGGAAACAGACGUGACUGCUAGCAGGCAGCGGAUGUUUCCUAUGAGAGGAGCGGACAAACAUGAGUAUGCAGGACGAUAGUCCGGAAUACGAAUGUUUGUUACGAUUUCGAGAGUGCGCAGCACGGAGAAAACGUAUAUGUU